AGUAACGGCGAGUGAAGCGGCAACAGCUCAAAUUUGAAAUCUGGCCCCGGCCCGAGUUGUAAUUUGCAGAGGAAGCUUCUGGCGCGGCGCCGUCCGAGUCCCCUGGAACGGGGCGCCAUAGAGGGUGAGAGCCCCGUAUGGAUGGACGCCUAGCCUGUGUGAAGCUCCUUCGACGAGUCGAGUAGUUUGGGAAUGCUGCUCAAAAUGGGAGGUAAAUUCCUUCUAAAGCUAAAUAUUGGCCAGAGACCGAUAGCGCACAAGAUAGAGUGAUCG
Molecule: ribosomal RNA, 273 nt
Filed under: Echria macrotheca
Lineage: Eukaryota; Fungi; Ascomycota; Sordariomycetes; Sordariales; Schizotheciaceae
Description: partial large subunit ribosomal RNA
Rfam family: Eukaryotic large subunit ribosomal RNA
Source: RNAcentral